UGAGGAAUAUUGGUCAAUGGACGGAAGUCCGAACCAGCCAAGUCGCGUGAAGGAUGACUGCCCUAUGGGUUGUAAACUUCUUUUGUAUUGGGAGAAUAAGCCUUACGUGUAAGGUGAUGACUGUACAAUACGAAUAAGCAUCGGCUAACUCCGUGCCAGCAGCCGCGGUAAUACGAAGGGGGCAAGCGUUGUUCGGAAUUACUGGGCGUAAAGCGCACGCAGGCGGCGUGACGCGUCAGAAGUGAAAUCCCCGGGCUCAACCUGGGAACUGCUUUUGAAACGGUCAUGCUUGAAUCAUGGAGAGGGUAGCGGAAUUCCUAGCGUAGCGGUGAAAUGCGUAGAUAUUAGGAGGAACACCAGUGGCGAAGGCGGCUUUCUGGACUGUAACUGACGCUGAGGUGCGAAAGCCAGGGGAGCGAACA
This 422-nucleotide ribosomal RNA is filed under the name uncultured bacterium. RNAcentral's name for it is "bacterial SSU rRNA". It matches the Rfam family "Bacterial small subunit ribosomal RNA", at positions 355 to 774 of the family's 1533-position model. The record is from RNAcentral.